RNAcentral lists this ribosomal RNA (430 nucleotides) under uncultured bacterium. RNAcentral's name for it is "partial 16S ribosomal RNA". It matches the Rfam family "Bacterial small subunit ribosomal RNA", at positions 354 to 796 of the family's 1533-position model. The record is from RNAcentral.
GUGGGGAAUAUUGCACAAUGGGCGAAAGCCUGAUGCAGCAACGCCGCGUGAGGGACGACGGCCUUCGGGUUGUAAACCUCUUUUAGUAGGGAAGAAGCGAAAGUGACGGUACCUGCAGAAAAAGCACCGGCUAACUACGUGCCAGCAGCCGCGGUAAUACGUAGGGUGCAAGCGUUAUCCGGAAUUAUUGGGCGUAAAGAGCUCGUAUGCGGUCUGUCGCGUCUGCUGUGAAAACUGGAGGCUCAACCUCCAGCCUGCAGUGGGUACGGGCAGACUAGAGUGCGGUAGGGGAGAUUGGAAUUCCUGGUGUAGCGGUGGAAUGCGCAGAUAUCAGGAGGAACACCGAUGGCGAAGGCAGAUCUCUGGGCCGUAACUGACGCUGAGGAGCGAAAGCGUGGGGAGCGAACAGGAUUAGAAACCCCAGUAGUCC